Molecule: ribosomal RNA, 440 nt
Filed under: uncultured bacterium
Lineage: Bacteria
Description: partial 16S ribosomal RNA
Rfam family: Bacterial small subunit ribosomal RNA
Source: RNAcentral
CCUACGGAUGGCAGCAGUGGGGAAUAUUGCACAAUGGGGGAAACCCUGAUGCCGCGACGCCGCGUGAGUGACGCAGUAUUUCGGUAUGUAAAGCUCUAUCCGCAGGUAAUACAAUUACGGUACCUGAUUAAUACUCCCCGGCUAACUACGUUCCAGCAGCCGCGGUCAUACGUAGGGGGCAAGCGUUAUCCGUAUUUACUGGGUGUAAAGGGAGCGUAGACGGAAGCACAAGUCUGGAGUGAAAUGCCGGGGCUUAACCCCGGAACUGCUUUGGAAACUGUGCCGCUAGAGUGCAGGAGAGGUAAGUGGAAUUACUAGUGGAGCGGUGAAAUGCGGAGAUAUUAGGAGGAAAACCAGGGGCGAAGGCGGCUUACUGGAAUGUAACUGACGUUGAGGCGCGAAAGCGUGGGGAGCAAACAGGAUUAGAUACCCUGGUAGUC